Lactuca sativa (garden lettuce) is the source of this 948-nucleotide non-coding RNA. The record is from RefSeq and is a predicted model, not a curated record. NCBI's taxonomy places the organism in Eukaryota, Viridiplantae, Streptophyta, Magnoliopsida, Asterales, Asteraceae.
UAACUAGAGCAGUAGUCAAUAGUCAUUGAAAAGAAGUAAAUGAAGAUCGACGUGUUUGUGAAUGACGAAGUUUCAAUAACGCCAUCACACUAACUUUGUGGGUUUAAUUCAUCUUUCAGCAUUCAACCACCAUUGUCACACCCGUCGUUUGGCGCGGUUGACUGGAGCCUUAUAUAUGAUCAUUGAGAUUAAGAAGAAGGAAGAAAACCCCUAAUUAGAACCGCCGAUGUCGCUCCACAUCCCCUCGAUUCAUCAUUGUCACCACCAUCGGCAGUGAAAGAUGCGAGCAGGCUAUGGUCGUUCUCUAUCUGAGUCCCUCUUUCCCCUGAUUUUGGCCCAUGAUGUUAGUGGUGAAAUUGCAGCAAUUGGACAAUCUGUACAAACACUUAAUGUUGGGCAAUAAAUUUUUGGGGCACUUCAUCCAACAGCUACGAGAGGAUGCAAAUGCAAUUCCUUUUGCUGCCCUAACAACAUGACGUGCUCUUAAAUCUACUGCCAGGAUAAGUAAAGGUGACACGAUAAUUGCAGCCAUAGAUCUGAUUAAGGACCGUGGAGUUGACAACCAACAUAUCAAAGUGGUUUACCUUCUUUAUUGUAGAUCCAAUGAUAGCAAUAGAAUGGUGGAUUAGAUCAAAGGCUAUUACUUUGUGAAAUUUGGAGAUGAGAGUGAUAAAGUACUUGCCAUAAGUGAAAUGAAUGGAGGAUUUUGUUAAACCAAACCAGUGUAAAUUAGACCAUCUACUAACAAAACAAAUGUUAUAUUACAUAGUCUAAUCUUAUAGUACUAAGAGAGUGCCCUGUAUAUGUUUUCUAAUGAAGACAUAUUUGUCUAUGUGAAAGUCUUUUAUUUAUGCAUGUAAUUUUGUGUAAAAUACGUGUUGCUUCUCUUUUUUCUUUUCAUUUCCACUAUGUAAGGUUUGACAUGGAAUAACAAAUGUAAAUGGUCUA